CGCAAUUUGGAAGGCAUUGCCUGCCCAGUGACAACUGUUUAACGGCCGCGGUAUCCUGACCGUGCAAAGGUAGCAUAAUCAUUUGUUCUCUAAAUAAGGACUUGUAUGAAUGGCCGCACGAGGGUUUUACUGUCUCUUACUUCCAAUCAGUGAAAUUGACCUUCCCGUGAAGAGGCGGGAAUGCACAAAUAAGACGAGAAGACCCUAUGGAGCUUUAACUAACCAACCCAAAGAGAAUAGAUUUAACCAUUAAGGAAUAACAACAAUCUCCAUGAGUUGGUAGUUUCGGUUGGGGUGACCUCGGAGAAUAAAAAAUCCUCCGAGCGAUUUUAAAGACUAGACCCACAAGUCAAAUCACUCUAUCGCUCAUUGAUCCAAAAACUUGAUCAACGGAACAAGUUACCCUAGGGAUAACAGCGCAAUCCUAUUCAAGAGUCCAUAUCGACAAUAGGGUUUACGACCUCGAUGUUGGAUCAGGACAUCCUGAUGGUGCAACCGCUAUCAAAGGUUCGUUUGUUCAACGAUUAAAGUCCUACGUGAUCUGAGUUCAGACCGGA
RNAcentral lists this ribosomal RNA (557 nucleotides) under Phascolosoma esculenta. Its description in RNAcentral is "partial 16S ribosomal RNA". It matches the Rfam family "Bacterial large subunit ribosomal RNA", at positions 1839 to 2620 of the family's 2925-position model. The record is from RNAcentral. Lineage: Eukaryota; Metazoa; Annelida; Sipuncula; Phascolosomatiformes; Phascolosomatidae.